RNAcentral lists this small RNA (277 nucleotides) under chicken gut metagenome. Its description in RNAcentral is "5' ureB small RNA". The record is from RNAcentral.
GGCGACUCAAAAUGAACGUGUACGUCUAUGCCUCCCGGAGUCACCACAAGCCCCUCAGCCGAAACAACCUCUGUGGCGCAUCCUAUAAUGAGCCCCGGGGUUAUAUUCAUGGUGUCGGGAUUUCCGGCCUUUCCUAUGCCUACAAUAACCCCGUCCUUAAUUCCUAUAUCUCCCUUGACUAUUCCUAUCAUGGGGUCUAUAAUGACGGCGUUUGUAACACAUACGUCAAGAACCCCGUCCUUCGUGGUCUUUCCCGACAUGUUUCCCAUUCCGUCUC